UUUUUUUUUUUUUAAACUGAAUAUUUUUGGAAAAAAUAUGAAGAAGUUAUCUCUGACAUUUCUAUUGUCAGGUUGCCAAGACAUGUUUGGGGAAUCAUAAUGAUUCAACAUCUCGUUUGAAAGCAGCAGAAACAGAGACAAGCUUUCAGAAGUUUCACAGCCCUCCAUGGACUAAACCUGAAGAUGAAAAAUCACCUGAAAAAAAAGAGAAAAAAUACGAAGAAUCAGUUAGUACUCCAGAAUAAAACCUCUAAAUGCUACUAACCUACAUUGAAAAAUGCCAAUCACUUCCAUUUUCAUGUUCUGCUAGCACAAAGGCAUGAAAUGUCCCCUGUUUCUAAAGCAUGGAUUUUUCACUAUUUUAUGAGUGUCUGUAAAUUAGUCUAGAACAGACCAGUUAGUACCUUACAGCAAUAAUCCAAAAUUGAUGUUUGAAGAAGUGCUUUGUAAUGCAGUCCAGUUUUUGAACUCUUGUUCUACCUUAUCAGUAAUUGUAUACUAUAAAUUACCUUCUUUGUAAACAACA
Molecule: long non-coding RNA, 526 nt
Organism: Taeniopygia guttata (zebra finch)
Lineage: Eukaryota; Metazoa; Chordata; Aves; Passeriformes; Estrildidae
Source: RefSeq, a predicted model, not a curated record